AUUGAACGCUGGCGGCAUGCCUAACACAUGCAAGUCGAACGGCAGCACGGCAGUAGCAAUACUGUGGGUGGCGGGUGGCGGACGGGUGAGGAAUACGUCGGAAUCUGCCCAGUCGUGGGGGAUAACUAGCCGAAAGGUUAGCUAAUACCGCAUACGACCGAGAGGUGAAAGCGGGGGACCGCAAGGCCUCGCGCGAUUGGAUGAGCCGACGUCGGAUUAGCUAGUUGGUGGGGUAAAGGCCCACCAAGGCGACGAUCCGUAGCUGGUCUGAGAGGAUGAUCAGCCACACUGGAACUGAGACACGGCCCAGACUCCUACGGGAGGCAGCAGUGGGGGAAUAUUGGACAAUGGGCGCAAGCCUGAUCCAGCAAUGCCGCGUGUGUGAAGAAGGCCUGCGGGUUGUAAAGCACUUUCAGUGGGGAAGAACAGAUUCGGGUCAAUACCCCGGAGCCCUGACGUUACCCACAGAAGAAGCACCGGCUAACUCCGUGCCAG
Molecule: ribosomal RNA, 495 nt
Filed under: uncultured bacterium
Lineage: Bacteria
Description: bacterial SSU rRNA
Rfam family: Bacterial small subunit ribosomal RNA
Source: RNAcentral